GAGCCAUUAGCUCAGUUGGUAGAGCACCUGACUUUUAAUCAGGGUGUCCGGCGUUCGAGUCGCCGAUGGCUCACCA
Molecule: transfer RNA, 76 nt
Filed under: Desulfotomaculum sp.
Lineage: Bacteria; Bacillati; Bacillota; Clostridia; Eubacteriales; Desulfotomaculaceae
Also listed under: 6 other names
Description: tRNA-Lys
Rfam family: tRNA
About the family: Transfer RNA (tRNA) molecules are approximately 80 nucleotides in length. Their secondary structure includes four short double-helical elements and three loops (D, anti-codon, and T loops). Further hydrogen bonds mediate the characteristic L-shaped molecular structure. tRNAs have two regions of fundamental functional importance: the anti-codon, which is responsible for specific mRNA codon recognition, and the 3' end, to which the tRNAs corresponding amino acid is attached (by aminoacyl-tRNA synthetases). tRNAs cope with the degeneracy of the genetic code in two manners: having more than one tRNA (with a specific anti-codon) for a particular amino acid; and 'wobble' base-pairing, i.e. permitting non-standard base-pairing at the 3rd anti-codon position.
Source: RNAcentral